This 2903-nucleotide ribosomal RNA is filed under the name Escherichia coli J53. Its description in RNAcentral is "bacterial LSU rRNA". It matches the Rfam family "Bacterial large subunit ribosomal RNA". The record is from RNAcentral. Lineage: Bacteria; Pseudomonadati; Pseudomonadota; Gammaproteobacteria; Enterobacterales; Enterobacteriaceae.
UUAAGCGACUAAGCGUACACGGUGGAUGCCCUGGCAGUCAGGAGGCGAUGAAGGACGUGCUAAUCUGCGAUAAGCGUCGGUAAGGUGAUAUGAACCGUUAUAACCGGCGAUUUCCGAAUGGGGAAACCCAGUGUGUUUCGACACACUAUCAUUAACUGAAUCCAUAGGUUAAUGAGGCGAACCGGGGGAACUGAAACAUCUAAGUACCCCGAGGAAAAGAAAUCAACCGAGAUUCCCCCAGUAGCGGCGAGCGAACGGGGAGCAGCCCAGAGCCUGAAUCAGUGUGUGUGUUAGUGGAAGCGUCUGGAAAGGCGCGCGAUACAGGGUGACAGCCCCGUACACAAAAAUGCACAUGCUGUGAGCUCGAUGAGUAGGGCGGGACACGUGGUAUCCUGUCUGAAUAUGGGGGGACCAUCCUCCAAGGCUAAAUACUCCUGACUGACCGAUAGUGAACCAGUACCGUGAGGGAAAGGCGAAAAGAACCCCGGCGAGGGGAGUGAAAAAGAACCUGAAACCGUGUACGUACAAGCAGUGGGAGCACGCUUAGGCGUGUGACUGCGUACCUUUUGUAUAAUGGGUCAGCGACUUAUAUUCUGUAGCAAGGUUAACCGAAUAGGGGAGCCGAAGGGAAACCGAGUCUUAACUGGGCGUUAAGUUGCAGGGUAUAGACCCGAAACCCGGUGAUCUAGCCAUGGGCAGGUUGAAGGUUGGGUAACACUAACUGGAGGACCGAACCGACUAAUGUUGAAAAAUUAGCGGAUGACUUGUGGCUGGGGGUGAAAGGCCAAUCAAACCGGGAGAUAGCUGGUUCUCCCCGAAAGCUAUUUAGGUAGCGCCUCGUGAAUUCAUCUCCGGGGGUAGAGCACUGUUUCGGCAAGGGGGUCAUCCCGACUUACCAACCCGAUGCAAACUGCGAAUACCGGAGAAUGUUAUCACGGGAGACACACGGCGGGUGCUAACGUCCGUCGUGAAGAGGGAAACAACCCAGACCGCCAGCUAAGGUCCCAAAGUCAUGGUUAAGUGGGAAACGAUGUGGGAAGGCCCAGACAGCCAGGAUGUUGGCUUAGAAGCAGCCAUCAUUUAAAGAAAGCGUAAUAGCUCACUGGUCGAGUCGGCCUGCGCGGAAGAUGUAACGGGGCUAAACCAUGCACCGAAGCUGCGGCAGCGACGCUUAUGCGUUGUUGGGUAGGGGAGCGUUCUGUAAGCCUGCGAAGGUGUGCUGUGAGGCAUGCUGGAGGUAUCAGAAGUGCGAAUGCUGACAUAAGUAACGAUAAAGCGGGUGAAAAGCCCGCUCGCCGGAAGACCAAGGGUUCCUGUCCAACGUUAAUCGGGGCAGGGUGAGUCGACCCCUAAGGCGAGGCCGAAAGGCGUAGUCGAUGGGAAACAGGUUAAUAUUCCUGUACUUGGUGUUACUGCGAAGGGGGGACGGAGAAGGCUAUGUUGGCCGGGCGACGGUUGUCCCGGUUUAAGCGUGUAGGCUGGUUUUCCAGGCAAAUCCGGAAAAUCAAGGCUGAGGCGUGAUGACGAGGCACUACGGUGCUGAAGCAACAAAUGCCCUGCUUCCAGGAAAAGCCUCUAAGCAUCAGGUAACAUCAAAUCGUACCCCAAACCGACACAGGUGGUCAGGUAGAGAAUACCAAGGCGCUUGAGAGAACUCGGGUGAAGGAACUAGGCAAAAUGGUGCCGUAACUUCGGGAGAAGGCACGCUGAUAUGUAGGUGAAGCGACUUGCUCGUGGAGCUGAAAUCAGUCGAAGAUACCAGCUGGCUGCAACUGUUUAUUAAAAACACAGCACUGUGCAAACACGAAAGUGGACGUAUACGGUGUGACGCCUGCCCGGUGCCGGAAGGUUAAUUGAUGGGGUUAGCGCAAGCGAAGCUCUUGAUCGAAGCCCCGGUAAACGGCGGCCGUAACUAUAACGGUCCUAAGGUAGCGAAAUUCCUUGUCGGGUAAGUUCCGACCUGCACGAAUGGCGUAAUGAUGGCCAGGCUGUCUCCACCCGAGACUCAGUGAAAUUGAACUCGCUGUGAAGAUGCAGUGUACCCGCGGCAAGACGGAAAGACCCCGUGAACCUUUACUAUAGCUUGACACUGAACAUUGAGCCUUGAUGUGUAGGAUAGGUGGGAGGCUUUGAAGUGUGGACGCCAGUCUGCAUGGAGCCGACCUUGAAAUACCACCCUUUAAUGUUUGAUGUUCUAACGUUGACCCGUAAUCCGGGUUGCGGACAGUGUCUGGUGGGUAGUUUGACUGGGGCGGUCUCCUCCUAAAGAGUAACGGAGGAGCACGAAGGUUGGCUAAUCCUGGUCGGACAUCAGGAGGUUAGUGCAAUGGCAUAAGCCAGCUUGACUGCGAGCGUGACGGCGCGAGCAGGUGCGAAAGCAGGUCAUAGUGAUCCGGUGGUUCUGAAUGGAAGGGCCAUCGCUCAACGGAUAAAAGGUACUCCGGGGAUAACAGGCUGAUACCGCCCAAGAGUUCAUAUCGACGGCGGUGUUUGGCACCUCGAUGUCGGCUCAUCACAUCCUGGGGCUGAAGUAGGUCCCAAGGGUAUGGCUGUUCGCCAUUUAAAGUGGUACGCGAGCUGGGUUUAGAACGUCGUGAGACAGUUCGGUCCCUAUCUGCCGUGGGCGCUGGAGAACUGAGGGGGGCUGCUCCUAGUACGAGAGGACCGGAGUGGACGCAUCACUGGUGUUCGGGUUGUCAUGCCAAUGGCACUGCCCGGUAGCUAAAUGCGGAAGAGAUAAGUGCUGAAAGCAUCUAAGCACGAAACUUGCCCCGAGAUGAGUUCUCCCUGACUCCUUGAGAGUCCUGAAGGAACGUUGAAGACGACGACGUUGAUAGGCCGGGUGUGUAAGCGCAGCGAUGCGUUGAGCUAACCGGUACUAAUGAACCGUGAGGCUUAACCUU